CAGCAUAUGGAAGUUCCCAGGCUAGGGGUCCAAUCGGAGCUGCAGCUGCCAGCCUACACCACAGCCACAGCCACGCGGGAUCCAAGCCACGUCCGCGACCUACACCGCAGCUCACGGCAACACCAGAUCCCUCACCCACUGAGCGAGGCCACUGCCUACCAUCUCUUUCAUCUGUUAUUAUCUACCACCUGUCCACCUAUCAUCUAUCUCUGUAUCUCUUUAUCGAAUGAUCUUCUAUGUACCCAUCGUCUAUUAUUUAUCUAUAACCUGUCUGUCUGUCUGUCGGGUUCUUAACCCGCUGAGCCACCACAGGAACUCCAAAAAUCUACCAUUUAAAAAUCCAUCUUGCAGGUGGCCUCAGAUUGUAAGAAGCGUCUGCUCCCAGCACUGCAAGGGGAGAGGAAAGCGAGCUGUCUUAACUCCUCACAGGGGGCCCUCGUGCAGAAACCCAGGCUAAGGUGCUGUUCUGCACGGGCGCACAUGGGUUCCACAGCUGCCCCUCCAGGGCCUGCCCUUGCAUCGCCUUGUAAGGAUGGCAUCUCCUUAUUCUUUUCCUUUGUGCUCCAGUUUCUCCUUCACGCUGGCAAAUGCACAGACCCACCAUGACUUGCAGAAUUUCCAAAGCACAGAGCUCCCGCUCUGCCCAGCACGUCGGCUCGGGCAUCAAUGACUAAUGUGUGCUGCAGCCCAGCCGGGGGCGGGGGCGGGCGGGCGGGCGCUCCGAGGGCUUGGCGGCCGUGGCUCUGCCCUUGGCCAGGGCCUCCCCGCUCCCCGCCACGUCGGGCGCUUUAAAGUCAGAAGCACUCUCUCCUGGGCAGGAAACUAAAUUAAUUUCCAAGGGACCUGCAGAGAUCAGGGUGAAACUGCUCUGAAAUGAGUAGGAAUUGCAAAUGAACCGCCGAGGGUGAGAACGGGGAUGUGACCGCAGAGGGAGAGACAGAGACAGACAGACAGAGACAGAGAGACAGAGACCGAAAGAGGGAGACACAGAGAGAGAGAGAGAAACACCAAGAGUAGAGAGAGAGAGAGAGACAAAGAGAGACAGUGACAAAAAGACACAGAGACAGAGAGACACAGAGAGAGAGAAAGAAAGAGAGAGGAAGAGAGAGAGUGGCGGGAGGGGAGAGAGCCUGCAUCAAGGAGUUUUUUUUUUUUUUUUUUUUUUUUUUUAAGAGUCAUUCUUGGGCGUUCCCAUUGUGGCUCAGCAGGUUAUGAACCCAACUAGUACCCAUGAGGAUGCAGGCUCGAUCCCUGGCCUUGCUCAGGGGGUUAAGGACACGGCGUGGCCGCGAGCUGUGCUGUAGGUUGGAGUCACGGCUCAGAUCCCAUGUUGCUGUGGCUGUGGUGUCAGCCGGCACCUGCAGCUCCGAUUCGACCCCUUGCCUGGGGUCUGCCCAUGAGCAGCAGAUGCGGCCCUGAAAAGACCAAAAUAAGUACAUCAGUAAAAUAGGGCACAAAUCAACAUCUCUGCAGAGAGAAAAGCAGACUCACAGACAGAGAGCCCAGAUCUGCGGCUCUCCAGGGAGGCGCCGAUGGGGAGUCUGGGGUCAGCAGAUGCUACUUGUAUUCAGGAAGGACAUAUGACAAGGCCACUGAGGUUCACGGUGGAACGUGUGUGGCGUUAAGGCCGGUGCACCCCAGGCUGGGGGGGCUGGUCAGUGUGUAGUCAGAAUCGAGGGUGAAGACAGACAUAGAGCAGGCAGGUAUCUGCAACGCAGAACCCCCAGCCCUUUGGGGAGACCUGUUCUCCCGGGGCGGCGGGGGGGGGCACCAUUGCAACUCCCCAUCUUCUCCAGGUCACCACGUGACCUGGUACAGCUGGUCGCCCGUCCACCACGAGUGUGUCACAGACGGCGACAAGCGCUCAGGGUCAAGUGCCCUGACCCCCGAGUGAUACUGAAUGGCUGCCCGGGACUGCUCCCGCCUCACUUCCGAGGUCCGCGUGGGUCUCGUGAGUGAUGCUGCAACCGAGCAGGACCGCCAGCUCCUUUCCGGGACGGGAGCCCGCACGGCGCCACGUCCCCCGCCUGCCUGCCGUCUGUAGACAGGCUUUCGCCUCCCAGGCUGUCCCCGAGCUCCGAGGGGCAGAUUGAAUCAGAAACGUGAGGAAGUGCAGAAGCGAAGGAAAGCCGUCAAGCCAGCCCCAGAGCCACCGUCUUGCCUUCGACAAAGUCGAGGACCUUCUGUUCUUCCUCGAGGGUGAGCGACGGAGGUCCGAGCCGUGGCCUGGAGGUGUUUUGCGGACACUGAAACCCCCGCCAGGCUGGAAGACGUUACCUGCGUGCUGCCCACCUGCACGGAGACCCCGGACCCACUGGAACCAGGAGGUGGGUGACGCUGACUCCACCCCACCCGCCCAUCAGAAGAAAGUCCAUGAGCUGAUCACCUGUAUUUACUUAUUUAUCUAUUUUUAUUGUUUUUGCUUUUUAGGGCUGCACCUGCGGCAUAUGGAGGUUUCCAGGCUAGGGGGCUAAUCAGAGCUGUAGCCACCAGCCUACGCCACAGCCACAGCAAUGCAGGAUCCGAGCCGUGUCUGCGACCUACAGCACAGCUCACGGCAACACCAGAUCCCGGACCCACUGAGCGAGGCCAGGGAUCGAACCCGCAUCUUCAUCGAUACUAGUCAGAUUCAUUUCACUCCCUGCUCUGUCUUUCAAAAACCUUUUCCUGAAAGAAUGUAUGUGUGUGUGUAUAUAUGUAUGUACGUAUGACUGGGUCACUUUGCUGUACAGCAGAAAUUGACAGAACACUGUAAACCAACUGUAAAAAAAUUGAAACCUAAAAAAAGAAAAUAUAAAAUAGUUCAAUAAAUAAAAACCUUUCCCUGAAAGCCAUGGGGAAGUUCGGGUCUUUUGAGCACGAGCUGCCCGUUCUUGCUCGGCACCUGCAAUAAACCCUGCCCUCUCCUCCCGGGGUCAGCAGACAGGCUUUGCUGCAUGCAGGUGAGGGGACCCGGGCUUCGUGCGGUCCCAAUGUGUCUGAGCAGCUCAUGUCCCAACUGGUUACAGAAAAGAAGUAACAGGCUACACACAGGUGACACGGUGACAGCACAGCCAUGCCAGGGACGACCCUUCUGGGACGCGGCUGAGAGCGGACCAGGCCCCUCUGGGAGACGCAGAGUCUGCGACGUGGGUGGUGCAGUCCUUUGCCUGCCCCUUUCCAUCUCGUUCCAGAACGUUUUCAUUCCUUCAGAAGGAGACCCCGUUCCCAUCAGAGGUCACUCCAAGCCCCCUCCCCCAGCCCCCGGCAACCACCUGCCCACUUUCUCUCUCUGUGCCUGGUUUCUCUCCCCGAGCAUCGAGUUGACUUAGAAUCGGUAUAAAAGGGGAGGAGAGAGAAAUCAGCAGUUUGGGAGGGACAGAUACACACGAUUAUAAACAAAAUAGAUACGCCACAAGGACCCACUGCAGAGCACACGGAACUGUAUUCAAUACUUUGUAAUAAGCUACAAGGAAAAGACUCUGAAAAAGAAUACAUAUGCAUAGGGACCACGGAAGCACUAUGCUGGGCACCUGAAAUGAAUACAACAUGAUAAAUCCACUCUACUUCAAUAAGUAAAAAACACUCCCAGACUCUCCCAAAGGAAUCUCUAUUUAAAAAAUAAUCACUGAAAAAAUAAUCAUUAUAAGCCUCUCAGUAUAUGAAGCGAUUCAAAUUGCAGCCACGACACGACGUGAUGUCACAACCCCUGUAUCCGAAUGGCUAAACUGAAAAUACUGACGGAGUUCCCGUCGUGUCACAGCGGUAACCCACCCACCUAGUAUCCCUGAGGCCAUGGGUUCAAUCCCAGGCCUCGCUCAGUGGGUUCAGGAUCCUGUGUUGCCAUGAGCCGUGCUGUAGGUCGCAGAUGUGGCUCAGAUCUGGCAUUGCUGUGGCUGUGGCUGUGGCCGGCAGCUGCAGCUCCGAUUGGACCCUUAGCCUGGGAACCUCCAUAUGCCACAGGUGUGGCUGCAAAAAGAAAAAAAAAAAAAAAGAAUGCGAGUUAAAAUUCACAUGACUGUACUCCAAAAAUGCUUGAUUGUAUGUAAAAUGUUGAAAAGGCAUCUAUGUGGAGUUCCCUGGUGGCUCAGUGGGUUAAGGGUCCAGUGUUGUCAUGGCAGCAACUCUGGUGGCUGCUGAGGCCCAGGUUCAAUCCCUGGUCCAGACCCUUCAUGACUGCAGCCAAAAAAUUUUUUCUUUAAUUUUUUAAAUAAAAGAAAGUAAAAGAACUCUAUAUGUUCAAAAACUUGAAAGUGGAAUUACCCUAUGAUUUGACCAUUCCACAUCUGGGUCUUUACCCCAAAGAGGUAAAAGCAGGGAUGUGAACAGGUAUUUGCACCCUUGUGUUCACAGCAGCACUGUUCACCGUGGCCAAGAGGUGGAAGCAAACCUUACAUGUCCUUCGAUGGAUGGAUGGAUGGAUGAACAGAACGGGAUCCAUCCACGGAAUGGAAUACUAUGCAAGCAUGAAAAGGAAUGCGGCUACAACGUGGAUGGACCUUGGGGACACAGAAAUAAAGACGCUCAGAGAAAGAAAGUCACAGACAGACACAUGCUGCAGGGCUCCACUCUCAGGAGGUGCCUAGAGGAGUCAGAAUCACACAGACAGAAAGGAGAUGGCAGGGCGGGAGCUGGGGACUCAGGGUUUCAUGGGAAAAGCGUCUCCGGUUGGGAAGACGAAAUGGCUCCGGAGGUGAUGGUGGGGGUGGCUGCACAACAGGGUAACGGUAUUAAACACCACUGCACGAUGCCCUUUAAAUGGUCAAGAUGGGAUAGUC
This 4757-nucleotide long non-coding RNA is filed under the name Sus scrofa (pig). RNAcentral's name for it is "lncRNA (ENSSSCG00000053365.1)". Lineage: Eukaryota; Metazoa; Chordata; Mammalia; Artiodactyla; Suidae. The record is from RNAcentral.